UCCCUCGUGGCGCAAUUGGCUAGCGCGUCAGACUGUUAAUCUGGAGGCUGUAAGUUCAAUCCUUACCGAGGGAG
RNAcentral lists this transfer RNA (74 nucleotides) under Bombardia bombarda. It matches the Rfam family "tRNA". From Rfam's summary of the family: Transfer RNA (tRNA) molecules are approximately 80 nucleotides in length. Their secondary structure includes four short double-helical elements and three loops (D, anti-codon, and T loops). Lineage: Eukaryota; Fungi; Ascomycota; Sordariomycetes; Sordariales; Lasiosphaeriaceae. The record is from Rfam by way of RNAcentral.